CGGGACACGUGGUAUCCUGUCUGAAUAUGGGGGGCCCAUCCUCCAAGGCUAAAUACUCCUGACUGACCGAUAGUGAACCAGUACCGUGAGGGAAAGGCGAAAAGAACCCCGGCGAGGGGAGUGAAAAAGAACCUGAAACCGUGUACGUACAAGCAGUGGGAGCACGCUUAGGCGUGUGACUGCGUACCUUUUGUAUAAUGGGUCAGCGACUUAUAUUCUGUAGCAAGGUUAACCGAAUAGGGGAGCCGAAGGGAAACCGAGUCUUAACUGGGCGUUAAGUUGCAGGGUAUAGACCCGAAACCCGGUGAUCUAGCCAUGGGCAGGUUGAAGGUUGGGUAACACUAACUGGAGGACCGAACCGACUAAUGUUGAAAAAUUAGCGGAUGACUUGUGGCUGGGGGUGAAAGGCCAAUCAAACCGGGAGAUAGCUGGUUCUCCCCGAAAGCUAUUUAGGUAGCGCCUCGUGAAUUCAUCUCCGGGGGUAGAGCACUGUUUCGGCAAGGGGGUCAUCCCGACUUACCAACCCGAUGCAAACUGCGAAUACCGGAGAAUGUUAUCACGGGAGACACACGGCGGGUGCUAACGUCCGUCGUGAAGAGGGAAACAACCCAGACCGCCAGCUAAGGUCCCAAAGUCAUGGUUAAGUGGGAAACGAUGUGGGAAGGCCCAGACAGCCAGGAUGUUGGCUUAGAAGCAGCCAUCAUUUAAAGAAAGCGUAAUAGCUCACUGGUCGAGUCGGCCUGCGCGGAAGAUGUAACGGGGCUAAACCAUGCACCGAAGCUGCGGCAGCGACGCUUAUGCGUUGUUGGGUAGGGGAGCGUUCUGUAAGCCUGCGAAGGUGUGCUGUGAGGCAUGCUGGAGGUAUCAGAAGUGCGAAUGCUGACAUAAGUAACGAUAAAGCGGGUGAAAAGCCCGCUCGCCGGAAGACCAAGGGUUCCUGUCCAACGUUAAUCGGGGCAGGGUGAGUCGACCCCUAAGGCGAGGCCGAAAGGCGUAGUCGAUGGGAAACAGGUUAAUAUUCCUGUACUUGGUGUUACUGCGAAGGGGGGACGGAGAAGGCUAUGUUGGCCGGGCGACGGUUGUCCCGGUUUAAGCGUGUAGGCUGGUUUUCCAGGCAAAUCCGGAAAAUCAAGGCUGAGGCGUGAUGACGAGGCACUACGGUGCUGAAGCAACAAAUGCCCUGCUUCCAGGAAAAGCCUCUAAGCAUCAGGUAACAUCAAAUCGUACCCCAAACCGACACAGGUGGUCAGGUAGAGAAUACCAAGGCGCUUGAGAGAACUCGGGUGAAGGAACUAGGCAAAAUGGUGCCGUAACUUCGGGAGAAGGCACGCUGAUAUGUAGGUGAAGUCCCUUGCGGAUGGAGCUGAAAUCAGUCGAAGAUACCAGCUGGCUGCAACUGUUUAUUAAAAACACAGCACUGUGCAAACACGAAAGUGGACGUAUACGGUGUGACGCCUGCCCGGUGCCGGAAGGUUAAUUGAUGGGGUCAGCGCAAGCGAAGCUCUUGAUCGAAGCCCCGGUAAACGGCGGCCGUAACUAUAACGGUCCUAAGGUAGCGAAAUUCCUUGUCGGGUAAGUUCCGACCUGCACGAAUGGCGUAAUGAUGGCCAGGCUGUCUCCACCCGAGACUCAGUGAAAUUGAACUCGCUGUGAAGAUGCAGUGUACCCGCGGCAAGACGGAAAGACCCCGUGAACCUUUACUAUAGCUUGACACUGAACAUUGAGCCUUGAUGUGUAGGAUAGGUGGGAGGCUUUGAAGUG
Molecule: ribosomal RNA, 1761 nt
Filed under: Shigella sonnei
Lineage: Bacteria; Pseudomonadati; Pseudomonadota; Gammaproteobacteria; Enterobacterales; Enterobacteriaceae
Description: partial 23S ribosomal RNA
Rfam family: Bacterial large subunit ribosomal RNA
Source: RNAcentral